RNAcentral lists this transfer RNA (75 nucleotides) under Candidatus Woesearchaeota archaeon. RNAcentral's name for it is "tRNA-Arg". It matches the Rfam family "tRNA". Rfam says of the family: Transfer RNA (tRNA) molecules are approximately 80 nucleotides in length. Their secondary structure includes four short double-helical elements and three loops (D, anti-codon, and T loops). The record is from RNAcentral. Lineage: Archaea; Nanobdellati; Candidatus Woesearchaeota.
GCCCGCGUAGCUCAGCUCGGAUAGAGCAGCUCACUCCUAAUGAGCAGGCCGAGGGUUCGAAUCCCUUCGCGGGCG